Molecule: unclassified non-coding RNA, 258 nt
Filed under: Hevea brasiliensis (rubber tree)
Lineage: Eukaryota; Viridiplantae; Streptophyta; Magnoliopsida; Malpighiales; Euphorbiaceae
Source: RNAcentral
GUGAAUCGAUGAUUUGCCAGCUUAAAAAUAUAUUUGGUGAAGUUACAGGACUGAAUGUAUAGCAGAUGGCAAAUGUUAACUUGUAAUAAUGUAGGAGAAAAAGAGAGUUUCACAGAACUAGUAAGCAACCACAUGUUAUCUGCAGGCAGUUAGGCACGAGGUUGAAGAUCAAACCAUUACAGGAAAACACACAUUUAACAGUGAUCAUCCUACUAAUCCAACAGCAUUGAUUCAAAAAAAGCAAACACAUAAACCAGC